UUUGUGUUUUUUUUUUUUUUUUCGCUAUUAAGUUGUAUGAGCUCUUUAUAUAUUUUGGAUAUCUUCUCAAAUACAUGAUUUGCAAAUAUUUUCUCCCUUUCUGUAGUUUUCUUUUUCAUUUAUUGCUUGCUUGCUAUACUGAAGAUUUUUAGUUUGAUAUUGUCCCACUUAUUUAUUUUUGCUUUUGUUGCCCUUGCUUUUGGUGUCAAAUCCCAAAAAUCAUCAGCUUACUGACUAUGUUUCCUUCUAAGAGUUUAUGGUUUCAAGUCUUACAUUUAAGUCUCUAAUCCAUCUUAAUUUUUUGUGCAUGGUGUAAGAUAAUGGUCUGAUUUCAUUCUUUUGCAUGUUCUGUACAGUUUAAAUUAUCUUAAAGAACCCACCAUGAUUCCUUCAUUCAGUGUCUCUGUCACUUGAACACAGAAUUUUUAUUCACAAUUAUAUCUGCACCACCUAAAAUUGUUUUUGAAAUCCACUUAAAAGGAAAAAUGAUUAUUUAAUUAAAUUUUAUCAAUGAAAGAAACUCAUAUCUAUGUUUUUACACUUAUUCUUCCACCCCUACUUCCUAGGCAAGUUUGUUCAUGACCCCAGCUUUCUCCUUCCAACAGUGGAUGUGGCUAAAAUUUUAUAAAUAGAAUGCUACACUAUUGGGUCUGGUCACUAUUCCUUUUUAAGAGAAGGGAGAUGUAGGCUCAGUUGCAGACUAUGUUGCAGAGCAUACAAAUUUUGUGCCAGUUCUACCAGUUUAAGUCUGUGGUCAUGUCUCAGAACUUUUACAGUGCUUUAUCUUAAUGUCCAUCUCCAUUAAAGCAGGCCUAGCUUUUGAUUGGUCCAACUUCCACAAGGCUUUUCCAUUGGAAGCUGGGACAUAUCUACCAUUACUUUAUCUUCCUAAACCUACUCUAAGGAGUAGAGAUCUACAAACUAUUGGCCCAGAUGAUUAAAAAUACAAAUUUAGAAAAAUCUAAACAUUUUAUGGUCAAGUUAUGCCAACCUAUAUCCAUGUGGUAGAUUCUGGGUAUAUAAAGAUGAGUCAGAUCCAAAAUGACAUCCGCCUGGAUGGAACUUAAAAUGUAAAGCACAUAACUUAGAUUCAGGGUAUAGUUUAUACCAAAGAAGAAAAGAAUCAACAUUUCAUUUGAGUAGAGUUGGUGUCACUUGUCUCUUUUUCAAAGAGAUAACCACAGCAAUCUGAAAAAUUAUUUAUUUGGAUUGAUAAUUUGUCCUUCUCUUUCCUUCUAGUAUUCCAGAGCAAGUUAAUUACACAGUGAAACUGAAAUUUCAUGAACACAGAAAUAAUUUAUUCAACAGAAUGUAUUUAUUGAAUGUCUAGGCUAUGCCAGAUACUGUUUUAAGUGGUGGAGAUAUAAUCAUGAAUAAAAAUUCUGUUUCAAGUGACAGAGACACUGAAUGAAGGAAUCAUGGUGGGUGGUGUGGUGAAGUUUAUAAAGUAGAGAAAGGGAGUGCUAAGGGAUCAGGAGAGGGCUAUUUUAUAUAGGAUGGGUGUGAAAGACCUCUUUUACAUGGUUGCAUUUGAGCCAAGAACUAAAGAUGUAGAGAGAAAGCUAUGAUGAGGACAGAACAUCCUAGACAGGGAACAGGGAGGACAGGAGCCCUGAGGUGACAGUGUGCCUGGCCUGAUGGAGAUGAUUGUAAAACUCCAGUUCAUGCCCAUGGACCUGGGUGCGGGGGAGGUGGUAGGAAGUUGUCAAAUUAUAUGUAUAUUUUGAUGACAUUUGAAUAUAUGUUGUGAAUGAAAGACAGGAGUAAGAAUGGUUCCAUAUUUGAGUCUUAAACAAUGAAGAAUAUGGAAUUCUUGUUGUAGAUCAGUAGGUUAAGAACCUGACUAGUAUCUAUGAGGAUGUGGGUUCAAUCCCUGGCCUCACUCAGUGGAUUAAGGAUCCAGCGUUGCUAUAAGCUAUCAUGUACGUCACAGAUGACUCUCAUAUCCAGUGUCAGGAUGGCUGUGGCUUAGGCUGAUACCUGCAUAUCACAUUCAACCGCUGACCUGGAAACUUCCAUAUGCCAUGGGAACAGCUAUAAAAAGAAAACAAACAAGCAAACAAAGAACUGAAGAACAAAAAUAAUACCAUUUACAGCAACAUUGAUGGAGCUAGAGAUUAUCAUACUAAGAGAAGUCAGUCAGAAAGUGAAGGACAAAUACCCUAUGAUAUCACGUGUGGAAUCUAAAAUAUGGCACAAAUGAACCUAUCUAUGAAACAGAAACAGACUCCCAGACUGUUGAACAGACUCGUGGUUGCUGAAGCGGGGUCAAGGAGGGAUCGACUGGGAGUUUGGGGUUAGUGGAUACAGGCUAUUACAUAUGGAAGGGAUAAACAACAAGAUCCUAGACAGCACAGGGAACUAUAUUCAAUAUCCUGAGAUAUACCAUAAUGGAAAAGAAUAUAAAAAAGUAUGUAUAUGCGUGUAUAACUGAAUCACUUUGCUGUACAGUAGAAUUCACAACAUUUGUCUAAGUCAACUAUAUUUCAAUAAUAAAAAAUCCUGAAAGUGUGAACCUGUCAUUUACUUAGAGAAACCUCAUAAAAGAAGUUGAUUUGUUCAUCAUCCUCCAAAAAAGAAAAGAAAAAUCUCUAAACAGUAGCAUCACAAUUAGUACGAUGAAACAGAGGAAGAAAGAAUCUUGUCGUGUCUCCCAUCUCCCACUCCUUUGGGGUGUGUGUUCAUGGAGAGUAGUGACAGGCAGAGCUGCACACACUAUUUCUACCCUUGUUCUCUUUGUAGUUAUUAUGUGUGAUACAUGUGUGAAUGAAGCAACAUCUUACUAGAAUGACAGAGCUGGAAGUAGGAAAAAAUAUAACAAAGUGUACGGCGUGCACAGUACAAUUUCUAUAUAGAUCAUUUCUUGUUUGAUUACAUUUUAUACUUAUAAUGUUUUUCAUUUGGUGGUGGACUAGACAAAAACCCCUUGACAAUGUUGAAAUUUCCCCAAGCCCUCUGCUACUGGAAAAUAGCAGUGGUUAAGAAAUCACUCCACACUUCUGUGUUGUGGAGGUAGCUCACUGUGAAGAACUAGACUUCCCUGUAUGACUUAGAAAAGAUUUUCAGGUGUUUUUCCCCUGUCCACCUUCCUUGUUUACAAGGCCAGAGACAGACCUUCCAAAUUCUCAUUCUUUGUCUUAUUAAUGACUAGUAGGCUUUUUGCCCCCACCAUCCAAUCUGGGCAAAAUACUCAUUAACUUAACUUGAGGAUACUAAUCAGACCUCCCUUCCCAUAGACCCCAGGACACUGACUCAACCUUCAGCAAGCAUGAGAAAGGAGAACAGCACCUCCUUAAUGGUCCCUACUGAGAACUGGCUGACUUCAGAGAAAAACAUUCCUGAUGAGCUAUCCAAGGUCACCAUCUCCUUAACCCCCACUCCUGCAUCACAAACACACACACCCAGCUCUUUCUAACCUUGUUUGCUCUUCCCUACAACAGAUGAGUCUUUCCACCUGUCUUUUGGGAGGAUUUCAGAUCUUAUGAAGGGGGUCUUCUCUCUACAGCAGUAGUCCCCACUGCUGUUGUAAUCCUCUCCUUCCCCAAAUGGCAACAGCAGUUUUUGAAUCACAUCUCUCCUUGUCUAAGUCCAAUUUCUUUUCCACCUGACAACCUUUAUUAAUUAGUAGUUUUUUAUUGUCUGUUUGUAUAUUCCUCCAUUUAUAGAACAACUUUUUAUUCAGUCUGUCCUCUGUGGACAUUCUCAGGUAUAAAGCAGUGAACAAAACAGAGUUCCUUCUCUAUGGAGCUUACAUUCUAGUUUGGGGAGGCAGCUAAAUAAGUGAAAUAUUUAAUAAAUCAGAUGGUUCUUUGGGCUAUGGAGAAAGUGAAAUCUAGCAAGAGAGAGAUGUUUUGGGUUGAGAGGGUUACAUUCUUUAGUAAAGUGGUUGGGGGUGUAUUUAGGUUAUUUAUACUUUUUAGAGCUGAAAGUGAGGACAUUAUGUCUCUAAUUCUGAAGUCUAUAAAUGGUAAUCAUUGAGAUUUCUGAAUGCAAGUGACACUCAAAACUGAGUAAGGAAGGCCCCUGAUCAUUUGGAGAAAUUUAUUUAUGUUUGAUUAGUUUGUUUCAAAUCAAGUUCAUGGAAGUGGUGGAGUUAAGAUGUAUGAUUUCCAGACUAAAGUUCUGGAAGAUGUAGGGCUGUUUUCAAGCUGAUAUAUCCAGGACAAAUUCUUAUUCCCAAUACCUCAGGCUGGUGUUGGACUAGCAAUAAAAGCAGCUGUUAAUGGAUCAUCUCCACCCAGUUUUUCAUCAUUUUCUUUUUGAUUUUAUGACUCCUAAAAAAGACUCUGCUCUGGUCAAUCACCAACAACCCAAAAUAAAGAUCCUUUAUAUUUUUGGAAGUUAUGCAUCCUAGGAUUUUCUUGAGUCAAUUUUUUGAAGUCAAAGUUUUGCAGGGUUUUGACAGUGUUUUGUAGUAGCAUUGUAACUUACAUAAGUAAAACACUCCCUUUUAAAUGCUUUGUGUUAUGUGUUUGUCAGAUUCUGAGACCGUUUAUAAACAUUUUUAAAAAAAUGACACUGUGACUCAGUACAGGCUAAGUGCUUUUGUUUCAUAUAAGCAAAAUGGCUAAAAAUUUGAAGGCUCAGUAGUCAUACUUACGAAUUAAUUGAGAUUAUUUAUAAUCAGCACUUGGUAUUUCCUCAACAGACAGCUAUCUGAAAGCAGACAGUAUAAAUCAAAUGAAGACAUAAGGAUUGAUUAUGUCCAAGGUUCCCCAGACUGACACAAUGAAUCCCAAGGCAACAUUAACCAUUAUUUAUUUCUUUUAUAAAGCCCAAGAAAAUAGCCCAGGUGAAGCCUAGGUAUUUUUCCCCAUUAUAUCUGCCCCAACAUAUUCCAUCAGUAUCUAAUAAAUAUCUCAUAACUGGCUUUAAAAUUAUACUGCAGAGCUUUCAAAUGGGUAGCACUCAGAACAAAAUGGAUAAAUUGGAAAGCUUAUAUCAAAUCUAGUAGUUGAUCCUCUGGUACAAAUGCUUGGAGAUGCAGCCACUUCAACUCCCCAGAUACUUUUAAGGUAGCUAGCUAGUAUUUAAACUCACUCUGGCAUUAUUUCCCAGACCACUCAAGAAGCAAUAAUACAAGGUAAUCACUAAGUUAUUGCAUCUUGCUCCUCCCCCAAAUAAUAGUAAAUUAUGAAAACUGUUGAAAUUGUUCAAUAUUGUCCAGUUCAAGCUGUCCAUGAAUGAUGGUUAUGUGUGUUAAUGCCUAUCAAUAAACUAGAGCGUUAUAGGGUAGCUUUUUACUCUUGGUGCACUUGUAACCAAUAAGUAUAACACUUGAGCUUAACCUGAUAUGCUAAGGUAUUAAUAAUAGGGAGUGGCAGCAGGAAUAAUACUACUUUUAUUAUAAAAAGCGAAUUUCAAAUUAUGUUUUUGAUUUUCCUAUGUUAUUCACAUAAAAUUCAGAUUCAAACAUGGGGAACUUCUCAUUUUUUGUUUUGCUAUCUUCCUCUCUUUAGAAAUACACAUAAAUCAUCACAUUUUUCAACUUAGCUCACCACCCUUGUUGGAAUCUAUAUGGUUACUUAAGGAAGGCAGAUGUUAGUAUGUCAAUUGCUGAGCAGACGAGCAGGUUUUAAUUGGCUUAUUUGAUUCAGUAUCCAAAAGACUUAAAAAAAUUGUCGACUAUAACUUCAAGUAUUUCAAUUAUUUAGGCAAUCAAUGGGAUUAUCUUCUGGGCAAUUGACCAAUUGAACAGUUAUCAACCUGGAAAACAAUUAAAGCUUCAAGUGGUCAAAUAUUGACUGUGCAGCCAUGCCUUUAUUAGAGUAUGACUUGAAAUUAAAAUUGCACUAAAUCAUUCACUGGUUGAUGGAUUUCAUGGAGAUCUGAGCCCUCCACAUGGUUUCCCAAAGGUUAGGAUUAAGAGAGAGGAAUAUUGCUCAUAUUCACUAAUUCUAGAGACUAAUACACUGUCAAAGAUGUGGUAUGUGACACGGUUUGGAGCACAGUUAGCUGCAUCUAAAGUGAACUGCUUUUCUGUCAUUUUCAAAGAGAAUGGAUUUUACUAAAAGCAGAUGCUUGCAUUCCACCUGCUUUUGCUAAUUGCUGCAAUUUUCAGUGGUUUCUCACUGGAAUGGCUGUUGUUUGCAUUGCUGAUACAACCAGCUUGCCAUUGGAAAAUCUGCCAUAGCAGAUUAAACUCCUAGCAGUGCACACAUUUAUUUAUUCAUUCAGCAACAAUUAUUGAGGUCCUAUGCAGUGAGAAAACUGUGGUGGAUACUGGGGAUAAAAUUAUAAAGAAGACUCUAUCCUAAAGGAGAUUUCUGUAUAGUAUGACAUAUAAAUAAGUGAACAUUUACAGCCGAGUAUAACAAUUGCUAUUGGAAAUAUAAGGGUCAAGACAUAUGGGAGCUAAUUUCAAGGGCCACCCAACCAAUCUUAAUUAAGGAGGACUUCUCAGAAGAAGUUGUCUCUAAGCUGGCUGAUAAAAGGAAAAAAAAAAAAAUAGAAGUUAAUCAGUCAGAAGUGGGGAUAUGGAAGAGUGUUUUUUACCCUGAAAGCCCACUGUGUGCAAAGUUCCUUACUUGAGAGGGAGCACAGGCUUGUCUUAGAAAAAUUGCCCAUCAUGUCAAGAUCAUAGAGUUUGGGUCUAAAGAGUACCUGGGGCCACGUGACAAAGGGUGUUGUCAGAUAUAAAAAGCAUGUGGAACCUUAUG
Molecule: long non-coding RNA, 6659 nt
Filed under: Sus scrofa (pig)
Lineage: Eukaryota; Metazoa; Chordata; Mammalia; Artiodactyla; Suidae
Description: lncRNA (ENSSSCG00015012204.1)
Source: RNAcentral